Molecule: ribosomal RNA, 300 nt
Filed under: uncultured Methanomassiliicoccus sp.
Lineage: Archaea; Methanobacteriati; Thermoplasmatota; Thermoplasmata; Methanomassiliicoccales; Methanomassiliicoccaceae
Description: bacterial SSU rRNA
Rfam family: Bacterial small subunit ribosomal RNA (bases 52-300)
Source: RNAcentral
GCGAACUCGGGGCGCGCGGCGGGGGGAGUAGGGGGGGGUCGGGCGGUGGCCGGAAUACCGGGGCGGAAAGGGCGCGGAGGCGGGGCGGGAAGUCAGUGGUGAAAGCCCGCGGCUCAACUGCGGGUCGGCCACUGAGACUCUCGUGCUCGAGUUUGGUAGAGGCAGAUGGAAUUCCGGGUGUAGCGGUGGAAUGCGUAGAGAUCCGGAAGAACACCGGUGGCGAAGGCGGUCUGCUGGGCCAAGACUGACGCUGAGGCGCGACAGCGUGGGGAGCAAACAGGAUUAGAUACCCCGGUAGUC